This 395-nucleotide ribosomal RNA is filed under the name uncultured bacterium. RNAcentral's name for it is "partial 16S ribosomal RNA". It matches the Rfam family "Bacterial small subunit ribosomal RNA", at positions 523 to 918 of the family's 1533-position model. The record is from RNAcentral.
AUACGUAGGGUGCAAGCGUUAAUCGGAAUUACUGGGCGUAAAGCGUGCGCAGGCGGUUUUGUAAGACAGAGGUGAAAUCCCCGGGCUCAACCUGGGAACUGCCUUUGUGACUGCAAGGCUAGAGUACGGCAGAGGGGGAUGGAAUUCCGCGUGGAGCAGUGAAAUGCGUGGAUAUGCGGAGGAACACCGAUGGCGAAGGCAAUCCCCUGGGCCUGUAAUGACGCUCAUGCACGAAAGCGUGGGGAGCAAACAGGAUUAGAUACCCUGGUAGUCCACGCCCUAAACGAUGUCAACUGGUUGUUGGGUCUUCAUUGACUCAGUAACGAAGCUAACGCGUGAAGUGGACCGCCUGGGGAGUACGGCCGCAAGGUUGAAACUCAAAUGAAUUGACGGGG